RNAcentral lists this long non-coding RNA (847 nucleotides) under Crocodylus porosus (Australian saltwater crocodile). RNAcentral describes it as "lncRNA (ENSCPRG00005012840.1)". Lineage: Eukaryota; Metazoa; Chordata; Crocodylia; Crocodylidae. The record is from RNAcentral.
AUUUGCUCUAGGGUGCAUUCGGACAGCCCCUUCUGGAAGACCUGCCUUUGAAUUCAUCUGUGGCUGGAUACUUUGCUUAGGAAGAGAAGAGACCCGAUUCAUUUAUUUUACAAACAUACAUACCCUCAUCUUUCAGAAACCCUCACCUCCCCCACAAUCUGGCGAAGGUCGAAUCUGAUGAUGGAUGCUCUGGGACGCCUCGUGCAUCGGCCACAUUACGUGGCAUUGCAAGACCGAACAAUAAAGCAACCUGCCCUGGGAACCACGGCAACCCAACAGUGUCAUAGCAAUGAGGCGACGGCAGAUGACUGACUCUCACGAAAGAGACUGCUGCAGCAGUGAGCUCUCUCGAGCAGCUCAGAAGAGUGCCAACGAUUAGAGAAAGGAGGAACACUUUCCGCUGAUAUGGAUGCAUCUCCAUCCCAUGAAAAGCUGGGGGAGCCAGUGCAGUGGCAGAGGUGGAGACAGGAGAAAUUACGGGAUCGGUGCAACAGCUCUCACUGGAGAUCCAGGGGGGUCCAGAAGAUCCUGAAGUUAAGGCAAAAACCAAGGUGCAGAGAUGUCAGGAAUCUGAUUUCCAAAACAACUUUGGGGCCAGGUCUCCGAAGCAUUCAGGAGCAGAAAUCUGGCUCUGAGAGGUGGUCUGCUUUGGGGAAUCUGUGUGCAUGCCAGGGGCUGCAUGUCACCAGUCUAGCCUCAGGAAGAAAUUAAUUUUCAUCAAUACUAUCCAAAUGAUUCACCCUAACUUGUAGAAAUGCUGUGCUGGAGAAGAAAGAGCUCCCAGUCUCCUCCAUGACUCACUGUGUUCUUGGAUGUGGCCCAUCAGAAUGUAUCAGCAAAUCAUGUU